UUUCCGUAGGUGAACCUGCGGAAGGAUCAUUCAUAAUAAAGUGUUUUAUGGAACUUUCUAAAAAUCAAUAUCCACCUUGUGUGCAAUGUUAGAUCUCGUCAAUCUUGGCGAGAUUUUUAUACAUCAACUCAUUCUUUAACUAAUUUGUCUGAAAAAUAUUAUGAAUACUUAAUUCAAAAUACAACUUUCAACAACGGAUCUCUUGGCUCUC
This 211-nucleotide unclassified non-coding RNA is filed under the name plant metagenome. RNAcentral describes it as "partial contains small subunit ribosomal RNA, internal transcribed spacer 1, and 5.8S ribosomal RNA". The record is from RNAcentral.